CAAUAGCGUAUAUUUAAGUUGUUGCAGUUAAGAAGCUCGUAGUUGGAUUUCGGGUUGGCUUCAGCGGUCUCGCUUUGCGUUUGUACUGCUGCAGCCUACCUUCUUGUCGGGGACGGGCCUUCGGGCUUAAUUGCUUGGGGCCCGGAGUCGACGAUGUUACUUUGAGUAAAUUAGAGUGUUCAAAGCAAGCCUACGCUCUGAAUAUAAUAGCAUGGGAUAACACGACAGGACUCUGGCCUAUCGUGUUGGUCUGUAGGACCAGAGUAAUGAUUAAGAGGGACAGUCGGGGGCAUUCGUAUUCCGUUGUCAGAGGUGAAAUUCUUGGAUUUACGGAAGACGAACAUCUGCGAAAGCAUUUGCCAAGGAUGUUUUCAUUGA
RNAcentral lists this ribosomal RNA (378 nucleotides) under uncultured eukaryote. RNAcentral's name for it is "partial 18S ribosomal RNA". It matches the Rfam family "Eukaryotic small subunit ribosomal RNA", at positions 592 to 976 of the family's 1831-position model. The record is from RNAcentral.